CAAUAGCGUAUAUUAAAGUUGUUGCAGUUAAAAAGCUCGUAGUUGGAUUUCUGGUGAGAGCGAUCGGUCUGGCGCUUAGCGCGAGUACUUGCAUCGUCUCCGGCCAUCCUUGGGGAGAGUCUGUCUGGCAUUAAGUUGUCGGGCAGAGGAUCCUCAUCGUUUACUGUGAAAAAAUUAGAGUGUUCAAAGCAGGCUUAUGCCGUUGAAUAUAUUAGCAUGGAAUAAUAAGAUAGGACUUUGGUACUAUUUUGUUGGUUUGCGCACCAAAGUAAUGAUUAAUAGGGACAGUUGGGGGUAUUCGUAUUCCGUUGUCAGAGGUGAAAUUCUUGGAUUUACGGAAGACGAACUACUGCGAAAGCAUUUACCAAGGAUGUUUUCAUUAA
RNAcentral lists this ribosomal RNA (383 nucleotides) under uncultured eukaryote. RNAcentral describes it as "partial 18S ribosomal RNA". It matches the Rfam family "Eukaryotic small subunit ribosomal RNA", at positions 592 to 976 of the family's 1831-position model. The record is from RNAcentral.